GUAUCUAUACAUGUAUUAUGAAAUACUCUAUAACACGAACAUUCUCUAUCUCCUUUCUUAAAUCUUCCAUUGAUUACAUGUAUUUCUAAUUCUCUUGGUGCUUUAUUUUUUCUUUUUGGUAGGAAAUUCAUUCUCUUAUAGAGAAACUCAGAGUUGUGCGAGGCAUAUUUUAUGUAAGUCUUUGAUGUGAAUGUUAACGUUUCUUUAAAAUGUUCAUAUAAUACAAAAUUAUCUUAUAAUCCAAGUUUUCUUUCACCAGUCAGCAAAUUAAAACAUUUCAUUUACUUUUUUUCCUGUGUAGAGAAUGCCAUGUACAUCCCAGAGACUAGCUACAUUGAGAAAAGAAGGUCAGCUGGGGUUCCAGAUCCUCCAGUUGCUCCUGUUACCUGUGCCGUGUCUUUUUACCACUCCUAUGGACUCAGUGGGCCUUUCCGUCUAGGGGCCAUUACCUGAGAGAAUGCUCUUGUCUGCAUUUGUGCCACUGGAAUGACUUCUUGCUGGGAGUUUAUACCCUCCGAGACACCUCGUAUAUGGCCACAGGGGCUAGGAAAGCCCAACUCCUUCCUGAAACUGAGACCAGCUGUGAGGUACAGUGUAUUUUAGAGCUGCCUAGAGGAUCUAACUCAUCCUGGCUCUUGGCUUCUCCUCCACUUUCCUGUGUGGCUUCCCCAUAGCUCUUCUGGUUUUCUUCUUGGAGCACUUCCUUAAUAAAUCACAGCUUGGGAGUUUCCUUUUCAUGGUUUACUUAUGAGGAACCUAACUUAAAAGAAUGGGUUAUACACAAAAUCAAACAUUUUCCCUCUGAAUUUCUUGUUUCAGACUUACCCUCAGUUAAUGAAUAAUAGGCAUUCCAUCUGACCGACUAUAA
RNAcentral lists this long non-coding RNA (868 nucleotides) under Cavia porcellus (domestic guinea pig). RNAcentral's name for it is "lncRNA (ENSCPOG00000035788.1)". The record is from RNAcentral. Lineage: Eukaryota; Metazoa; Chordata; Mammalia; Rodentia; Caviidae.